RNAcentral lists this ribosomal RNA (576 nucleotides) under uncultured bacterium. RNAcentral's name for it is "bacterial SSU rRNA". It matches the Rfam family "Bacterial small subunit ribosomal RNA", at positions 338 to 916 of the family's 1533-position model. The record is from RNAcentral.
CCUACGGGAGGCAGCAGUAAGGAAUAUUGCGCAAUGGACGAAAGUCUGACGCAGCAACGCCGCGUGCAGGAUGAAGGCCCUUCGGGUCGUAAACUGCUGUAGCAGGGGACUAAUAACCGUCUCGGACGGGAAUGAAGGUACCCUGAAAGUAAGCCACGGCUAACUACGUGCCAGCAGCCGCGGUAAUACGUAGGUGGCAAGCGUUGUCCGGAUUCACUGGGUGUAAAGGGUGCGCAGGCGGAUUUGUAAGUCAGAGGUGAAAUCUCACGGCUUAACCGUGAAACUGCCUUUGAUACUGCAGAUCUUGAGUUCGGGAGAGGUUGAUGGAAUUCCAGGUGUAGCGGUGAAAUGCGUAGAUAUCUGGAAGAACACCAGUGGCGAAGGCGGUCAACUGGCCCGUAACUGACACUCAGGCACGAAAGCGUGGGUAGCAAACAGGAUUAGAUACCCUGGUAGUCCACGCCUUAAACGAUGAAUACUUGGUGUUGGCUCGUAUGAGUCAGUGCCGAAGGUAACCUGUUAAGUAUUCCACCUGGGGAGUACGCUCGCAAGGGUGAAACUCAAAGGAAUUGACGG